RNAcentral lists this long non-coding RNA (372 nucleotides) under Equus caballus (horse). RNAcentral describes it as "lncRNA (ENSECAG00000040923.2)". Lineage: Eukaryota; Metazoa; Chordata; Mammalia; Perissodactyla; Equidae. The record is from RNAcentral.
CGAAAAUCACACUUCAGGAUCCUUUCUUAGACACAGUGAAUUAGAACUGAUAAGAAACAGGGAUGUGAUCUGGAAAUCUGUAUUUUUAACAAGUUCUCCCAGAGUUUUAGGUAUGAAAAUAAGAUCAAGAAAAGAAAAAUCCACAUGCUCCCGACACGAAGCUGGAUCAGCAAUAUUCUCCCAGGAAGCUGAGGUCAAGUCAUGUUCCCAGGACUUCACUGUUGCUAAGGCCUCACUCACAGGAACGCACGACUGCCUCUUCCUAAGAGUCCUGAAACGCUACAUUUGAACAAAGUACUUCUCCAGGCUAAAUUCCUUCAAUUUACAGGACUUUUUAUCUCAUUAAAAAUACCUUACUGAUCUAGUGAUGAU